This 16-nucleotide unclassified non-coding RNA is filed under the name synthetic construct. RNAcentral describes it as "RNA (5'-R(P*UP*GP*UP*CP*CP*AP*AP*CP*UP*CP*AP*AP*GP*AP*GP*A)-3') from synthetic construct (PDB 7KX9, chain C)". The record is from RNAcentral.
UGUCCAACUCAAGAGA